RNAcentral lists this ribosomal RNA (373 nucleotides) under uncultured bacterium. Its description in RNAcentral is "bacterial SSU rRNA". It matches the Rfam family "Bacterial small subunit ribosomal RNA", at positions 521 to 896 of the family's 1533-position model. The record is from RNAcentral.
UAAUACGGAGGAUCCAAGCGUUAUCCGGAUUCAUUGGGUUUAAAGGGUGCGUAGGCGGAAUAAUAAGUCAGUGGUGAAAUCCUUCAGCUUAACUGGAGAACUGCCAUUGAUACUGUUAAUCUUGAGUACAUUUGAUGUGGGCGGAAUGUGUCAUGUAGCGGUGAAAUGCUUAGAUAUGACACAGAACACCGAUUGCGAAGGCAGCUCACAAAACUGUAACUGACGCUGAGGCACGAAAGCGUGGGUAUCAAACAGGAUUAGAUACCCUGGUAGUCCACGCUGUAAACUAUGAUUACUCGAUGUUUGCGAUACACAGUAAGCGUCUAAGCGAAAGCGAUAAGUAAUCCACCUGGGGAGUACGCUCGCAAGAGUG